UCGCCCUCCACGCAGUCGAGUCAAGUGCAUCUUCAUCAUCGCCCAGAAGGAACGGUUCUCCACCCUGCCAGGCACCUUGGCACAGCCCAUCCCUGGACGCUUUUCUGCAACCCCUGCUGACACCUCCCCUCCCCUCCCCUGUUCCUCGGUGUCUUCAUCAGUCAGCCCCUCGCCUACUUGCAUUAGCCUCAUGUCCCCCAACAGCUGGAGGACCGCCCCACCUAGUGUUUUAUGACACCCAAGGAUCUCCACCCUCCACACCCUCCACCCUUCUCUCUUGCUCAUUGCAGUCGUAGGAGCCUCAUGGAGAAGACCUCUGAUGUCCCUCAACCUUUGCCACACUGCAACUUA
Molecule: long non-coding RNA, 351 nt
Organism: Myotis daubentonii (Daubenton's bat)
Lineage: Eukaryota; Metazoa; Chordata; Mammalia; Chiroptera; Vespertilionidae
Exons: 3
Source: RefSeq, a predicted model, not a curated record